CUUAUUACAACUCAAAACCAAAUAAUAUUAUUAAUAAGAUAAAACUUAUAAUGAAAUAAAUCGGCUACUUAUUGCAAUUAAAAAAAACAGAAACAGUAGUGUGGCCAUCUCUGAGUCCCUCGUAGCUCCAAACCAUCUAAGCUUAGGGAUUACCUGCACAGUUAGAAAUGGGGUGAGUUUACGAAAACUCAGUGUGUAACCCCAAUAACAAACAAACAGUAAAUAACACAGUAUCAGCACAAUCUGGGCCAAAGCCCUAUUUAGUCUUGACAUAUACUGGGCCGAAGCCUUUCAUUUAAUGGUUACUAGGCUGAAGCCUUUUCAUAAAUCAUAUCACUAGGCCGAAGCCUUUACUGUAAACGGUAUGGCCCAUAGGCCCAUUUCAAUAUCACAUGUAAUGUCAAUGGAUGUAUGCAAGCCCAUUUCAAUAUCAUAUGAAAUACCAAUGAAUGUAUGCAAGCCCAUUUUGGGAGACUACUCGACCCACCAUCCGCUACUCUCCACCCGUACCAACCAACACACCAUGUGGGGAAUAAUUCAACCCACCCAACCAACACACCACUGGCAGCAUAGCUGCUUUAUCAUAUAUCUGGAGGCCUAGCCUCUUUUAAUAACUGGGCAUAGCCCUUUUCGGUAAACAGGGGCAAAGCCCUUUUCAAUAAACCCGAGCAUAAGCCCUUUUCGGUAAACUGGGGCACAAGCCCUUUUCAAUAAACUGGGGCAUAAGCCCUUUUGCACUUCCUCCAUCCAUAUAAAAACCCAACCCAAUGCAUUUAUGAAUACAUCAUGUGCAUUUCAUACAUAUCAUGUGCAUUACAUAUCAUGUGCAUAUCAUAUCAAUCAUGUAUAUCAUAUCCCACGUAUCAAAUUUAUAAUUAAACCCUAGGGGUAUAAUGGUCAUUUUUACCUAGGGGCAAAAUAGUCAUUUUCAUACUGUAAGGGUAAUUUCAUAAUUUUACCAAAUAUCAGGGUUUUCCAUGUUCGUUAACAAUUAUCAAUAUUUCCAAGUGUUUAAACAAUGAUUUUUAACCCACUUUAUCAAAUUCGGGCUUUUGGGCCCAAAACCCUUAAUGGGCUCUACGAGGGUAAAAUAGUAAUUUUAUAAAUCGAGGGUGAAAAGGUAAUUCUGUAAAUCGAGGGUAAAAUGGUAAUUUUAUAAAUCGAGGGUAAAAUGGUAAUUCUAUAAAUCGAGGGUAAAAUAAUAAUUUUGUAAAUCGAGGGUAAAACGGUAAUUCUGUAAAUCGAGUGUAAAACAGUAAUUUUGUAAAUCCAGGGUAAGAGGGUAAUUCUGUAAAUCGAUGGUAAAAUAGUAAUUCUUUAAAUCGAGGGUAAAACAAUAAUUAUGUAAACUGAGGGUAUUUCGAUAAUUUUACAAAUCGAGGAUAUUUGGGUAAUUUUAUAAAUCGAGGGUACUUGGUAAUUUUACAACUGGGGGUAUUUCAGGAAUUUGGUAAACUAAAGUAUUCUAAACAGGGAUAAUAAUACGAAUGAGCCUAAAGCCCUUCUCGGCCCAAGUGGGCCCACACGCUCGUAUGGCCCUUUUAGCCCAAAUCUAGCCAUAGAUGUGAGAUUCACCUAGCCUAGUCCAAUAUUUACUACACAAUCAAACAACUUACCCAAUUGGGCCCGUAGGCCCAUUGGGCCCACAUGACCCCUUUCGGACCAUCGCGGCCCGAAGUAGCCAUCCUACAGCUACAGUAGUGAGAAAUACACACCUGAUAGGAGACUAGAGUUAAUCCACGCUCUGAGCACUCUUAGCCGACGCCCAACCCAAUCGAGGGCGCUAUACAGCGAAAGAGAU
Molecule: long non-coding RNA, 1801 nt
Filed under: Gossypium barbadense (sea-island cotton)
Lineage: Eukaryota; Viridiplantae; Streptophyta; Magnoliopsida; Malvales; Malvaceae
Description: long non-coding RNA (GBAR_LNC003022)
Source: RNAcentral